This 660-nucleotide ribosomal RNA is filed under the name uncultured bacterium. Its description in RNAcentral is "bacterial SSU rRNA". It matches the Rfam family "Bacterial small subunit ribosomal RNA", at positions 94 to 788 of the family's 1533-position model. The record is from RNAcentral.
AGUGGCGGACGGGUGAGUAACGCGUGAGAAUCUGCCUUGGGGUCGGGGACAACCACUGGAAACGGUGGCUAAUACCGGAUAAGCCUUUUGGUAAAAGAUUUAUUGCCCUAAGAGGAUCUCGCGUCUGAUUAGCUAGUUGGUGAGGUAAGAGCUCACCAAGGCAGCGAUCAGUAGCUGGUCUGAGAGGACGAUCAGCCACACUGGGACUGAGACACGGCCCAGACUCCUACGGGAGGCAGCAGUGGGGAAUUUUCCGCAAUGGGCGAAAGCCUGACGGAGCAAGACCGCGUGAGGGAGGAAGGCUCUUGGGUUGUAAACCUCUUUUCUCAGGGAAGAAGCUCUGACGGUACCUGAGGAAUCAGCCUCGGCUAACUCCGUGCCAGCAGCCGCGGUAAUACGGAGGAGGCAAGCGUUAUCCGGAAUUAUUGGGCGUAAAGCGUCCGCAGGUGGCGAUUCAAGUCUGCUGUCAAAGCACGGGGCUUAACUCCGUAAAGGCAGUGGAAACUGAAUAGCUAGAGUGCCGUAGGGGUAGAGGGAAUUCCCGGUGUAGCGGUGAAAUGCGUAGAGAUCGGGAAGAACAUCGGUGGCGAAAGCGCUCUACUGGACGGCAACUGACACUCAGGGACGAAAGCUAGGGGAGCGAAUGGGAUUAGAUACCCC